AAGGAAAAAGAGAGUGAGUAACACAAGGAGAAACAGAGGAAACCUGUACUUACAGUACGCUGUGUUCAGCCCAGAGGUGGGAGCUAUUCAAAGCAAACUAACUGUGCUUUGUGUCCAAUCUGAUACCUGUGGAGAGAAAAGGAAAAAGAGAGUGAGUAACACAAGGAGAAACAGAGGAAACCUGUACUUACAGUACGUUGUGUCCAGCCCAGAGGUGAAAGCCAUCCAAAGCAGAGUAACUGUGUUUUGUGUCCAAGUUGAUACCUGUAGAGAGGAGGAGAGAGAGUGGAUAACGCGAGGAGAAAUAGAGCGAAACCUGUACUUACAGUACGCUGUGUCCAGCCCAGAGGUGAGAGCCAUUCAAAGCAAACUAACUGUGCUAUUGUGCCCAAGUUGAUACCUGUGGAGAGAAAAGGAGAGAGAGUGGGUAACACGAGGAGAGACCGAGGAAUCCUGUACUUACGCCGCUGCCUGUGGAGAAAGAGAAAGCGAGUGAGCACCCAAGGAACGAACUGUGUGAACCAGUACUUACUGUGAGCUGCAAUCAGCGAAGAGGUGAGAGCAAAACCAAGCCGAAUUAACUGUGCCUUUGCUUCCCAGCCGUUGCAUGUGGAGGAAGAGAAAGAGAGUGAGCACCCCGAGAACGAACUGUGUGAACCAGUACUUACCGUGAGUUGUAUUCAGCGAAGAGGAGGAAGAAGGAGGGCGCUACGGAUACCUAAGACUCUGGCCGGGCCCCGAGCCCCACGCCCCGGAUCCCCGUGGCCCCCUUGCUCCCUGACCUCUUCCCGGCCAUAGCCCAUCUGGAGGGCCGAGUCAGAGUUUAGUUUUAAUUGCCCUUUCCCUAUUCCCCAAGCUAUUUUUAAAUAUUUAAAUAAAGAUUGUUUUAUCACUUA
This is a long non-coding RNA of Carassius gibelio (silver crucian carp), 896 nucleotides long. RefSeq lists it as uncharacterized. Lineage: Eukaryota; Metazoa; Chordata; Actinopteri; Cypriniformes; Cyprinidae. The transcript is spliced from 2 exons. The record is from RefSeq and is a predicted model, not a curated record.